GACGAACGCUGGCGGCGUGCUUAACACAUGCAAGUCGAACGGAAAGGCCCUGCUUUUGUGGGGUGCUCGAGUGGCGAACGGGUGAGUAACACGUGAGUAACCUGCCCUUGACUUUGGGAUAACUUCAGGAAACUGGGGCUAAUACCGGAUAGGAGCUCCUGCUGCAUGGUGGGGGUUGGAAAGUUUCGGCGGUUGGGGAUGGACUCGCGGCUUAUCAGCUUGUUGGUGGGGUAGUGGCUUACCAAGGCUUUGACGGGUAGCCGGCCUGAGAGGGUGACCGGCCACAUUGGGACUGAGAUACGGCCCAGACUCCUACGGGAGGCAGAAGUGGGGAAUAUUGAACAAUGGGCGGAAGCCUGAUGCAGCAACGCCGCGUGCGGGAUGACGGCCUUCGGGUUGUAAACCGCUUUCGCCUGUGACGAAGCGUGAGUGACGGUAAUGGGUAAAGAAGCACAGGCUAACUACGUG
This 468-nucleotide ribosomal RNA is filed under the name uncultured bacterium. RNAcentral's name for it is "partial 16S ribosomal RNA". It matches the Rfam family "Bacterial small subunit ribosomal RNA", at positions 28 to 507 of the family's 1533-position model. The record is from RNAcentral.